This 2910-nucleotide long non-coding RNA is filed under the name Homo sapiens (human). RNAcentral's name for it is "HSALNT0305815". Lineage: Eukaryota; Metazoa; Chordata; Mammalia; Primates; Hominidae. The record is from RNAcentral.
GUGACAGAAUGAGAGCCUGUCUGAAAAAAAAAAAAAAGAAAACAUACAAUGCCUGGAUUUCCUUUAAAAUAAUCCAGGGAAGGGAGAAAGGGUGGAGACUAUAGAUAAGAAAAAACUGCCCAUGAACUGAUACUUGUUGAAGCAGAGUUAAUAGUACAUUAUAUCAUUCUUUCAUAUACUAUUAUUUUGUAUUUUUUGUAUCCAAAAGUUUUCAUAAUAAAGAGUUAAGAUAUAUCAUCUAAAAUCUGAAAGAAUAUGCACAAAAAUGUAGGAAGUCAAUGUGAAAUUACACUAACACAUGAAUACUUUCCUCCUUUUCUUCUUCAUUUUUUUUUUUUAGACGGAGUCUUGCUUUGUCACCCAGGCUGGAGUGUGGUGGCUUGAUCUCGGCUCACUGCAAGCUCCGCCUCCCAGGUUCAAGUGAUUCUCCUGCCUCAGCCUCCCAAGUAUCUGGGACUACAGGCUUGUGCCACCAGGUCUGGCUAAUUUUUUGUAUUUUUAGUAGAGACAGGGUUUCACUGUGUUAGCCAGGCUGAUCUCCAUCUCCUGACCUUGUGAUCUGCCCGCCUCGGCCUCCCAAACUCCUUUUCUUCUUUAUCUGUAGCAAUGAGCAUGCAUAAUCAGAAAGAAAAAUAACGUUUAAAAGUGGGUUUAAAGUCUCUGUACAAGUUGUGGCUAAAAGGGGCACCAAAAGUAGCCACUUGUGGGCAGGCUGCUCCCUCCUCCCUCCGGGAGAAACACAGGUGCUGCUUUGUGCCCUUAGCUCCUGGAGCCUGGGGCUGAGCUGGGAGGGAGUAAAGGGGAGGGGGGUGGCAGGGUGUGUACUGGGGCCUGUAUUCUAUGCUGAGCAGAGUCCCAGCCACUCCUCGUGCAGCUUGUGAGGAAGCCAUUGGUGGUCAUCUUUAACAGAAUGCGAUCCAGGACUGCACGUGGCAUUCCGCUGCCGUGUCUCAGUGGGAUCCUUCCAUCCAGAACGGCUCCUCCGUCUUUCUCCUCCUCUCAUAAUUUUGACAGUUUUAAAGCAUCCAGGCUAUUUUUGUCUUUCAUAACCUUGACACUCUUGAAGAGUACUGGCCAAUUAUUUUGUAGAAUGUCCUCCAACUUGAGUUUGUCUAGUGCUUUCUCACAAUGAGAAUGAGGUUUUGUGUUUUUGGUGAGAACACCACAGAAGCAGGUUAUACCCUUCCCCAUGCAUUAUAUCAGGAGGCACAUGUGAUAUUGCUGCAUCCCAUUACUGGAGACGUUAACUUUGAGAGAUGAUGUAGCAAAGAUUUCUCCAUUGUAAAAUCCUAUUUUUCCUUCUGAACUUAAUGAGUAUCUUACAAGGAGCUGUCUUGGAGACUAUGUAAAUAUCUUGUUUAUCAUCAUACUUUCACCAACCAAUUUUGGCAUUCAUUGGUGAUUCUUGUCUGCAAUAUUAAUUACCACUGUGUUUUCCAACAGAUGAUUUUUCUACUUUCAUAAUUCCUUCUCCAUUUAUUAAUUGUAAUUCAGUGGUAAGGAAGAGCUGUCCCUUCUCUCCCAAUUACUUAUGCAAUUAUUUCAGUAUAGACUCAUGGAUAUUUAGUUUAUUCUACCAGUGAUAAUCCAUGACCAACAUCAUUUGUAUCAUUGUUCCAACUGUCCCAGGUAUGGCCAAUGUAAGCAUCUUCAAGUCACCCCUUGUGUUUGUUUGAAAUGCCCUUAUUCUAUUUUGAGCACUUCCUUUCUGACAUAAGAUGUUCCAGGAUUAUUUUAUAAUUUCACUGACCCCACCCUGUACUUAAUCAUUUCUCCAAAGAACUCUGCUUCCUUUAUUGAGGGAAUGUAUUUAGAAUCUAAGAUCUGGGUGCUGGAUGUCCUCAUUGUUACUGAGGUGUCACUGUGUCUAGGGCCUCUCAGCAGACAGAGCUAGGGAAUAUGGGUUACCAACUCUGAAACUAUUUUAUGGGUAUUCUGAGAUUGAGCAAAUAAGUAAAUACAUUGUAUUUAGUGGGAGGGAGGCAUCUCACUGUCAAAGAGAGAACUACAAAUAAAAAGGGAAGGGCAAAGUGAACCCUAUUGUGUUAGAUUAGAAUCAGAGGCAUCAGCAUGAGCUCCUGAUUUUUAGUGUAUGUACAGAUUGACAGAUAUAGAAAUAAAUAUGACCUGGCAAUUCCAUUCCUAGGCAUAUACCUAGCAGAAAUCCAUGGUCAUAAAAAAAAACAUGGACAAGAAUGAUCAUGCUGGGAGUGGUGGCUCACGCCUGUAAUCCCAACACUUUGGGAGGCUGAGGCAAGCAGAUUGCUUGAGUCCAGGAGUUUGAGACCAGCCUGGGCAACAUGGCGAAACCCUGUCUCCACUAAAAAUACAAAAAUUAGCUGGGUGUGGUGGUGCAUGCCUGUAGUUCCAGCUACUUGAGAGGCUGAGGUAGGAGGAUGGCUUGAGCCUGGGAGUCAGAGACUGAAGGGAGCCAAGAUUGUACCACUGCACUCCAACCUGGGGAACAGAGUGAGACCCUGAAGAAAGAAAGAGAGAAAGAGAGAAAGAGAAAAGAAAGAAGAAAGAAAGGAAGAAAGAAAGAAAGAAAGAAAGAGAAAGAAAGAAAAAAAGAGAGAAAGAGGAAGAAAAAAAAAGAAUGAUCAUAGGAUCAUAGCUGCACUAUUAUCAUAGUCCUAAGCUGUAAACCACGCAAAUUCCCGUUGACACCAGACUAAAGAAUGAAUGACCGACCACUACAUGCAACAUUAUGGAUGAAAAUACAAUUGCGGAAAGACAUUUUCUCAAAAAAUGCUGUGUGAUACCAUUUAUAUAAAGCACAAACCAGGCAAAUUAAUCCAUGUCACAAGAACUCAGUAUCAAUUUUCUGCAAGAGAAACGAGGGGGUUUCUGAGCUGCUGGUAGUGUUCUGUCAUUUGGUCUGGGUGCUGGUUGCAUUGGUGUGUCUAAUUC